AGUGAACGCUGGCGGUAGGCCUAACACAUGCAAGUCGAACGGCAGCACAGUAAGAGCUUGCUCUUACGGGUGGCGAGUGGCGGACGGGUGAGGAAUACAUCGGAAUCUACUUUUUCGUGGGGGAUAACGUAGGGAAACUUACGCUAAUACCGCAUACGACCUACGGGUGAAAGCAGGGGAUCUUCGGACCUUGCGCGAUUGAAUGAGCCGAUGUCGGAUUAGCUAGUUGGCGGGGUAAAGGCCCACCAAGGCGACGAUCCGUAGCUGGUCUGAGAGGAUGAUCAGCCACCCUGGAACUGAGACACGGUCCAGACUCCUACGCGAGGCAGCAGUGGGGAAUAUUAGACAAUGGGCGCAAGCCUGAUCCAGCCAUACCGCGUGGGUGAAGAAGGCCUUCGGGUUGUAAAGCCCUUUUGUUGGGAAAGAAAAGCAGCAGGUUAAUACCCCGCUGUUCUGACGGUACCCAAAGAAUAAGCACCGGCUAACUUCGUG
This 492-nucleotide ribosomal RNA is filed under the name uncultured bacterium. RNAcentral describes it as "partial 16S ribosomal RNA". It matches the Rfam family "Bacterial small subunit ribosomal RNA", at positions 29 to 507 of the family's 1533-position model. The record is from RNAcentral.